CCACCGCAUGGUGGGUGGUGGAAAGGGUUUUACUGGUUUUGGAUGGGCUCACGGCCUAUCAGCUGGUUGGUGGGGUAAUGGCUCACCAAGGCGACGACGGGUAGCCGGCCUGAGAGGGUGACCGGCCACACUGGGACUGAGACACGGCCCAGACUCCUACGGGAGGCAGCAGUGGGGAAUAUUGCACAAUGGGCGGAAGCCUGAUGCAGCGACGCCGCGUGAGGGAUGACGGCCUUCGGGUUGUAAACCUCUUUCAGUAGGGAAGAAGCGCAAGUGACGGUACCUGCAGAAGAAGCGCCGGCUAACUACGUGCCAGCAGCCGCGGUAAUACGUAGGGCGCAAGCGUUGUCCGGAAUUAUUGGGCGUAAAGAGCUCGUAGGCGGUUUGUCGCGUCUGCUGUGAAAGCCCGGGGCUCAACCCCGGGUCUGCAGUGGGUACGGGCAGACUAGAGUGCAGUAGGGGAGACUGGAAUUCCUGGUGUAGCGGUGAAUGCGCAGAUAUCAGGAGGAACACCGAUGGCGAAGGCAGGUCUCUGGGCUGUUACUGACGCUGAGGAGCGAAAGCAUGGGGAGCGAACAGGAUUAGAUACCCUGGUAGUCCAUGCCGUAAACGUUGGGCACUAGGUGUGGGGGACAUUCCACGUUUUCCGCGCCGUAGCUAACGCAUUAAGUGCCCCGCCUGGGGAGUACGGCCGCAAGGCUAAAACUCAAAGGAAUUGACGGGGGCCCGCACAAGCGGCGGAGCAUGCGGAUUAAUUCGAUGCAACGCGAAGAACCUUACCAAGGCUUGACAUUCACCGGACCGCCCCAGAGAUGGGGUUUCCCUUCGGGGUCGGUGGACAGGUGGUGCAUGGUUGUCGUCAGCUCGUGUCGUGAGAUGUUGGGUUAAGUCCCGCAACGAGCGCAACCCUCGUUCUAUGUUGCCAGCACGUGAUGGUGGGGACUCAUAGGAGACUGCCGGGGUCAACUCGGAGGAAGGUGGGGAUGACGUCAAAUCAUCAUGCCCCUUAUGUCUUGGGCUUCACGCAUGCUACAAUGGCCGGUACAAAGGGUUGCGAUACUGUGAGGUGGAGCUAAUCCCAAAAAGCCGGUCUCAGUUCGGAUUGAGGUCUGCAACUCGACCUCAUGAAGUCGGAGUCGCUAGUAAUCGCAGAUCAGCAACGCUGCGGUGAAUACGUUCCCGGGCCUUGUACACACCGCCCGUCAAGUCACGAAAGUUGGUAACACCCGAAGCCGGUGGCCUAACCCCUUGUGGGAGGGAGCCGUCGA
This 1268-nucleotide ribosomal RNA is filed under the name Kocuria sp. Its description in RNAcentral is "bacterial SSU rRNA". It matches the Rfam family "Bacterial small subunit ribosomal RNA", at positions 183 to 1459 of the family's 1533-position model. Lineage: Bacteria; Bacillati; Actinomycetota; Actinomycetes; Micrococcales; Micrococcaceae. The record is from RNAcentral.